RNAcentral lists this ribosomal RNA (492 nucleotides) under uncultured bacterium. RNAcentral describes it as "partial 16S ribosomal RNA". It matches the Rfam family "Bacterial small subunit ribosomal RNA", at positions 29 to 507 of the family's 1533-position model. The record is from RNAcentral.
AGUGAACGCUGGCGGUAGGCCUAACACAUGCAAGUCGAACGGCAGCACAGUAAGAGCUUGCUCUUACGGGUGGCGAGUGGCGGACGGGUGAGGAAUACAUCGGAAUCUACUUUUUCGUGGGGGAUAACGUAGGGAAACUUACGCUAAUACCGCAUACGACCUACGGGGGAAAGCAGGGGAUCUUCGGACCUUGCGCGAUUGAAUGAGCCGAUGUCGGAUUAGCUAGUUGGCGGGGUAAAGGCCCACCAAGGCGACGAUCCGUAGCUGGUCUGAGAGGAUGAUCAGCCACACUGGAACUGAGACACAGUCCAGACUCCUACGGGAGGCAGCAGUGGGGAAUAUUGGACAAUGGGCGCAAGCCUGAUCCAGCCAUACCGCGUGGGUGAAGAAGGCCUUCGGGUUGUAAAGCCCUUUUGUUGGGAAAGAAAAGCAGCAGGUUAAUACCCCGCUGUUCUGACGGUACCAAACGAAUAAGCACCGGCUAACUUCGUG